RNAcentral lists this ribosomal RNA (229 nucleotides) under uncultured bacterium. RNAcentral's name for it is "partial 16S ribosomal RNA". It matches the Rfam family "Bacterial small subunit ribosomal RNA", at positions 91 to 334 of the family's 1533-position model. The record is from RNAcentral.
UACAGUGGCGUACGGGUGAGUAACACGUGGAUCAUCUACCUCUUGGUGGGGAAUAACCCUGGGAAACCGGGGCUAAUACCGCAUAAGCCUGCAAAGGGAAAGCAGCAAUGCGCCGAGAGAGGAGUCCGCGGCCGAUUAGCUUGUUGGUAGGGUAAUGGCCUACCAAGGCAAUGAUCGGUAGCCGGCCUGAGAGGGCACACGGCCACACUGGCACUGAAACACGGGCCAG